RNAcentral lists this unclassified non-coding RNA (408 nucleotides) under soil metagenome. RNAcentral's name for it is "partial contains 5.8S ribosomal RNA, internal transcribed spacer 2, and large subunit ribosomal RNA". The stretch from base 1 to 120 matches the Rfam family "5.8S ribosomal RNA", at positions 35 to 154 of the family's 154-position model. The record is from RNAcentral.
GAUGAAGAACGUAGUGAAAUGCGAUAAGUAAUGUGAAUUGCAGAAUUCAGUGAAUCAUCGAAUCUUUGAACGCACCUUGCGCUCCUUGGCAUUCCGAGGAGCAUGCCUGUUUGAGUGUCAUUAAAUUCUCAAGACCUGUCUGCUUUUUUGAUAGGUAUUGGAUUUUGGGGGUUGCAGGCUGUUUCAAAUAAAUAGCCUUGCUCUCCUUGAAUGUAUUAGUGGAGAAAAGCCAUUGAACUCCAUUGGUGUGAUAAAACCUAUCAAUGCCAGGAGCAAUAUCACUACUUCUCUCUGCUGUCUAACUGUGACUGUCUGUAUUAAUUAGUAUGGAUGGGGACAACUUGACCAACUUGACCUCAAAUCAGGUAGGACUACCCGCUGAACUUAAGCAUAUCAAUAAGCGGAGGA